UGGACCUCGAAGGUCUCAGAGCUGUCCCUGGAUUAUUGAAAAGCCAGAACUUGAAGAUGUCCACAUGGCGGCCACACUGAAUUGCCUUGUCCCCCGUGUCGUAGGAGACAUCAUAUUGCUUGUCCGGCUGGAAGAGGUACCCUGCGCACAUCUGGUUGCAUCCUUGGAGUAUACCCUGUCGUGGAAAUCAAGAAGAGAGAACUUUGGACAGCUGUGCUCAGGGAGAAGGCCAUGUGAAGGCAAGGCARAGACUGGAGCCAUGUAUCUACAAGUGGAGGAACACCUGCAACACCAGAAGUUGGAGGAAGCAAGGAUGGAUUUUCUCUGAGAGCUUCAAAGAGAUCAUGGUUCCGCCAACACCUUGAUUUUGAACUUUUAGCCUCCAAAACUGUCAGAGAAUAAGUUGCUACUGUUUCAAAUCACCUAGUUGGUAGUAAUUUGUAAUGACAGCUCUAUGAAACUAAUACAGAAAGGGAGGAAAACAGGCCCAAAUUCUCCACAGUGUCAAUGACAGGGAAGGGUAGGUAAGAUUUAUCAGGACAAAACAGGCAUGAAAAUGGAGGUAGAAAGAAUAGGGGAACCUGCUCUCUAGGUCCUGAAUAGCCUGAACCUCAAAAUGAACUUGACCUAUUACCAUGUAUCUGUAUCUUUUUAAUUUAUUUUUACAAGAAAUAAUGAUGAGGGUUUUUUGGUUUGUUUUGGUA
This is a long non-coding RNA of Urocitellus parryii (Arctic ground squirrel), 704 nucleotides long. RefSeq lists it as uncharacterized. The record is from RefSeq and is a predicted model, not a curated record. NCBI's taxonomy places the organism in Eukaryota, Metazoa, Chordata, Mammalia, Rodentia, Sciuridae.